Molecule: transfer RNA, 74 nt
Filed under: Candidatus Woesearchaeota archaeon
Lineage: Archaea; Nanobdellati; Candidatus Woesearchaeota
Description: tRNA-Lys
Rfam family: tRNA
About the family: Transfer RNA (tRNA) molecules are approximately 80 nucleotides in length.
Source: RNAcentral
GGGCUGGUAGCUCAGCUUGGUAGAGCACCAGGCUUUUAACCUGGGAGUCGCGGGUUCAAGUCCCGUCCAGCUCA